Molecule: long non-coding RNA, 1372 nt
Organism: Lotus japonicus
Lineage: Eukaryota; Viridiplantae; Streptophyta; Magnoliopsida; Fabales; Fabaceae
Exons: 2
Source: RefSeq, a predicted model, not a curated record
UUGUUACUUUUUGGUUUUUCUAUUUGGUUUCACUACUACAAUCUAUUUCGCUGAGUUUUCUAUUUACCUUUUGUGGCUACUUUUCCCUUUCACUACUUUUCUGACCACUUUUCAUCUUCAUUGCUUUUCUGACCACUUUUCAUGUUUUUCAUCUUCAUGGAAUUUUACUUUUGAAGGAUAACUCACCUUUUAAGCACACUUUUGAUAAUUUAAAACUCUUAUAAUUUGUCUUCUUCAUCUAUUUAAGCCCUCAACCAUCUAUUACUAUCGGGUUUUGUUCUUUGUGAGUAGCAAUUGAAGUCUGGGUGUGGCGACAAGAAAGGUUGGGUCUCUCUUUGCUUCAUUCAAAAAUGUUGAAGAUGUGGGGUGUUACAAGGCUCAAGGUACGAUUGGUUUGCGGAAGGCUCAUCGGUGGACAUCCGGCGUUCCCGCUCGCCCUCCACGGUGAGUCCAUUGUGAUUGAGUUGUUGAUUCACUCUGUCUAUUUAUUACUUCAUUUUUUGGUGUAUUAAAUGAUGACCCGGGUUUAUAUGAUGUUUUUAGGGUUUUUCCUUGUAGGUUUUGAGUCUUUUUUCUUAUGUCUCAUGUAGUGUUUCAUGCAUUCUCAUGCAUUUUAACUUUUAUUUGUGCAAUUGCAUUAGUUUAGUAAUUUUGUAGUUUUAUAAGGGAUUUAGUUGCAUUUUAGUAUAGUUUUGAGUCUUUUGUUAAUUGUCAUUAGUUUUGAGUCCUUUGUGCAAUUAAAUGGUUGGUAUUCUUGAUAUUUUUCCUUGAGCUUUGAUGAGAGUAAUCAGGUCUGAAACUGAAGAAGAAGGAAGGUCAAGAAACUUGGUGAAUUGAAGGGAGGCUUAAAGAGGCAUAAAGAGGAGUUAAAAUGAAGAUCAAGGGACUUUCCAGCGAGUCUGAGCGCCUAGGCAUGCUCCAUUGGCGCCUAGGCGCCAAUUGCCCUGUUCCAGAAAUUGGAAUUGGCGCCUAGGCGCUCUGAAUUGGCGCUCAGGCGCUCUGGAAUUGGCGCUCAGACGCUCUGAAUUGGCGCCUAGGCGCCAAUUACCUUCCAGAGGCACUUUUUCAGCAUGGAAUUGGCGCUCAGGCGCUCUGAAUUGGCGCCUGAGCGCCCGGAACAGCCCAAACUCGUGAUUUUGCCUAUAAAUAGGAUUCUAGUCAUUUUCUUUUGGAAUCUUGGAUAUCUAUUCCAUUUUUACAUAAGUUUAGAAGGAGAGGAACAUCUAGAAGAGUGAGAGAAGGCUUCCAAGCUUGUAAUUCAGGUUCUUAGCCAAGCAUGGCAAGAGCCAUGCUUGGCUAAUCUCUCUUCUUUUGCUUUGAAUUUCUUUGUAAGACUUUUUGUAUUUGAGUUAUAAUCUUAAGUUCUUUCCCA